This 309-nucleotide small nuclear RNA is filed under the name Octodon degus (degu). Its description in RNAcentral is "7SK RNA (ENSODEG00000024175.1)". It matches the Rfam family "7SK RNA". From Rfam's summary of the family: 7SK was discovered as an abundant small nuclear RNA in the mid-70s but a possible function has only recently been suggested. Two independent studies have found that 7SK RNA binds the CDK9/cyclin T complex (known as elongation factor P-TEFb). Lineage: Eukaryota; Metazoa; Chordata; Mammalia; Rodentia; Octodontidae. The record is from RNAcentral.
GGAUGUGGGGGCAAUCUGACUGCAACAUCAGUCACCCCACUGAUCGCCAGGGUUGAUUCAGCUGAUCUUGCUGGGUAGACAGGUGACCCCUUCCUCCCUCACUGCUCCUGCGCGCCCCUCCUGAAGCCGCACGCUCAGCUGAAGAGGCUGAGCACCCUGAUAGGCAGGACCAUCUCCUUGGCCAACAGUGCAUGAGUAGCUGCACUCCCCUGCUAGUACCUCUAAACGAGCUCUCAAAACUCCCAAGGGCUAAGAAAACUAAGAUGUAUACCAUACAGUGAUGUUAUGAGGAACAGAAUUAAUGUACAU